RNAcentral lists this small RNA (316 nucleotides) under Prolemur simus (greater bamboo lemur). RNAcentral describes it as "Metazoan signal recognition particle RNA (ENSPSMG00000009477.1)". The stretch from base 170 to 316 matches the Rfam family "Metazoan signal recognition particle RNA". The record is from RNAcentral. Lineage: Eukaryota; Metazoa; Chordata; Mammalia; Primates; Lemuridae.
GCCGGGCGAGGUGGCUCACGCCUGUAAUCCUAGCCCUCUGGGAGGCCGAGGCUGGUGGAUUGCUCGAGGUCAGGAGUUCAAGACCAGCCUGAGCAACAGCGAGACCCCGUCUCUACUAAAAAUAGAAAGAAAUUAUAUGGCCAACUAAAAAUCUAUAUAGAAAAAAUUAGCCGGGCACAGUGGCGCAUGCCUGUAGUCCCAGCUACUCAGGAGGCUGAGGCAGGAGGAUUGCUUGAGCCCAGGAGUUUGAGGUUGCUGUGAGCUAGGCUGAUGCCACGGCACUCUAGCCUGGGCAACAGAGUGAGACUCUGUCUCA